RNAcentral lists this ribosomal RNA (637 nucleotides) under Sistotremastrum suecicum. RNAcentral's name for it is "eukaryotic LSU rRNA". The stretch from base 237 to 390 matches the Rfam family "5.8S ribosomal RNA". The record is from RNAcentral. Lineage: Eukaryota; Fungi; Basidiomycota; Agaricomycetes; Sistotremastrales; Sistotremastraceae.
UCUUGGUCAUUUAGAGGAAGUAAAAGUCGUAACAAGGUUUCCGUAGGUGAACCUGCGGAAGGAUCAUUAAUGAAGUUACCUCUUCUUGGGUUUCUACUGUUGCGCUGUAUGGCUGCACGUAGGCCUGGGAGGGGUUAAUCCCACAAACCCUUGUGCACCAUGAGGGGCUUAGACCUCUCCAAUAUCAUAUAAUCUAUAGCUGAUGUCUUUUGUCUUUAUUAUCAUUAAUAAUAAACAACUUUCAACAACGGAUCUCUUGGCUCUCGCAUCGAUGAAGAACGCAGCGAAAUGCGAUAAGUAAUGUGAAUUGCAGAAUUCAGUGAAUCAUCGAAUCUUUGAACGCACCUUGCGCUCCUUGGCAUUCCGAGGAGCAUGCCUGUUUGAGUGUCAUGUCAAUACUCAAACCCAUGCCUUUGUGUAUGGGUUUGGACUUGAAGGGUUUGCUGGCUUUUCGGAGCUGGCUCCUUUUAAAUGCAUUAGCUGGCUUUACGGGCCUGUUUUUCAGUGUUGUAAUCUUUAAUACGCGCUGUGAUCAACUAGUUCGACUUGCCGCUGAUAGACAACAUUUUUCUAUGUCUCUGACCUCAAAUCAGGUAGGAUUACCCGCUGAACUUAAGCAUAUCAUUAUGCGGAGGCA